AAUUAAAUAAAUAUUAAUAAUUACUAGAUAAGCUCAAUUAAACAAACACCUAUAACUAUUGGCGUUUCCCUGCAUAUUUCUUCGUUCAUCUCCUCUACUUCUCCAAUUGGAUUAGGCUCAUGGUGCGGUCCCAGAUCAAAGGCUUAAAUUCAACUCAUCUAUAUUCUAGGCCACAACUAACGAAAAAGAAAAAGAAGAAUGAAUCACUAGGAAUAAGGUCUUUGUGAUUUGACUUAGCAGUGAGCUUAGAAAAUUAACAGAAAGCCUGUAUCAGAAGCGUACAAGGAAGAAAUCACCGUAUAUAAACCUGGAAAAAUAUUAUUUCAUUACUGAAAAAAACCAAAAAUUUGACCCUUGUGCAAAUAGAACAUGAAGAAAUCAACCGUUAAUGGCCUUCGAGACUGAAAUUUUUUUUUUUUUUAACUUUAAUUUUAUCAUCUUUGGCACCACGGGGUAAUUAGCGGGAUAGAAAAUUCAACAGAGAAAAACGACAUCGUUUAAGAGGCCGGCCGGGGGAAAAUAAUUAAUUAAAAAAUAAAUUUUAACCAUACAUUUAAUACACGUCACGACACGAGUCAAUACAUCUAGAAAAAAAAACUAAGAUAUUAAUCAGAUCACAAAUGACAUGAAUCCUCCGCCAAUACUCAAUUGCGUGAGGUGUGGAUCAGAUCAGAUGGACAUUAUUUGAAAGGCCAGUAUAACACGGGCUAAACAGUAACAACGGCUUUCCGUAAACAUAUUUCAAACACAAAAAAAAAAAAUCAAGAACAGGAAUGGAUCAGAUCAGAAAGUGAAAAAACAGGAGUGUAAAAGCAAAGCGAUGAAAUUUCCACGAUGACGAAGCUCAAGCUUUUGAUUUGCGUCCUGUCACUUUCUCCAUGACAUACUACAACUGCUCGUCUUUAAUAUCAACAGUUGAACGCAAAUCGAGGUGUAGUGUCAUCGUUCAAAGCAAAAAAGAAUUUACACGUUUUUGAAAUUUGGAAAUUGACUCAUGACUGAUAGACAGAUGACCGACGAUGUCUCCACGCCACUCAACUGAAUAUUGACUAAUGUGGCAGUUUCUUCUAGAGACUGCAGGACUUCCUUCCUCUCUUUAAUUUCCGGUCUUCCCGUCUUGAUUCUGAUUGAAAAACUAACUGACCGUGAAAAGAAUUUUCUCCUCUGCAAACGGGAAGCUGAUUCGACGCCACUCAGAAGCACUAUUCAAUACAAAAUCAGUGAAAAUUUCAGCACCAACGCAGCCUUGCCCCUACGCCUAGUUGAUGGGCAUUUUCUAAUAGGUAAUACAACAUGACAAUAAUGUCAAACACUUAGCAGUGAAAUAUUAUAAUAUAGAUCCCGCUGCGUUACGUUUAUCGUAACGUAUAUUCACACACAGCAAUAGCUCCCAUGGUGGGAUUUGUUAUUGUUGCUGUGUGUGGCGUACGUUACGAUUAACGUAACGUAGCACUAGUCUUAUAAUAUACUACAGCUAAUAAUAUUAUAUAAUAUAAUAUAUUAAACAAACGCACAAAAUAGUUAUUAUUAAGAAUGUGCUAUAUAUUUUGUUAGAAGACUUUUUUGUUAGUGAUUUACUGG
Molecule: long non-coding RNA, 1581 nt
Filed under: Citrus maxima (pomelo)
Lineage: Eukaryota; Viridiplantae; Streptophyta; Magnoliopsida; Sapindales; Rutaceae
Description: long non-coding RNA (CMAX_LNC001577)
Source: RNAcentral